RNAcentral lists this ribosomal RNA (635 nucleotides) under Staphylococcus pseudintermedius. Its description in RNAcentral is "partial 23S ribosomal RNA". It matches the Rfam family "Bacterial large subunit ribosomal RNA", at positions 407 to 1043 of the family's 2925-position model. Lineage: Bacteria; Bacillati; Bacillota; Bacilli; Caryophanales; Staphylococcaceae. The record is from RNAcentral.
CCUGAGUACGACGGAGCACGUGAAAUUCCGUCGGAAUCUGGGAGGACCAUCUCCUAAGGCUAAAUACUCUCUAGUGACCGAUAGUGAACCAGUACCGUGAGGGAAAGGUGAAAAGUACCCCGGAAGGGGAGUGAAAGAGAACUUGAAACCGUGUGCUUACAAGUAGUCAGAGCCCGUUAAUGGGUGAUGGCGUGCCUUUUGUAGAAUGAACCGGCGAGUUACGAUCUGAUGCAAGGUUAAGCAGAAAAUGUGGAGCCGUAGCGAAAGCGAGUCUGAAUAGGGCGAAUGAGUAUUUGGUCGUAGACCCGAAACCAGGUGAUCUACCCUUGGUCAGGUUGAAGUUCAGGUAACACUGAAUGGAGGACCGAACCGACUUACGUUGAAAAGUGAGCGGAUGAACUGAGGGUAGCGGAGAAAUUCCAAUCGAACUUGGAGAUAGCUGGUUCUCUCCGAAAUAGCUUUAGGGCUAGCCUCAAGUGAUGAUUAUUGGAGGUAGAGCACUGUUUGGACGAGGGGCCCCUCUCGGGUUACCGAAUUCAGACAAACUCCGAAUGCCAAAUAAUUUAACUUGGGAGUCAGAAUGUGGGUGAUAAGGUCCAUAUUCGAAAGGGAAACAGCCCAGACCACCAGCUAAG